This 480-nucleotide long non-coding RNA is filed under the name Anser brachyrhynchus (Pink-footed goose). RNAcentral describes it as "lncRNA (ENSABRG00000008064.1)". Lineage: Eukaryota; Metazoa; Chordata; Aves; Anseriformes; Anatidae. The record is from RNAcentral.
AAAAGAAAAAAGCUGAACUAUGUAGGUGUAAUAAUAAUUAAAAUAGAGGUCAGGUUUUUCUAGAGGGCAAUUCAAGCUUAAUGCUAACAACAGUCCUUCAGCCCUGGUGAAUGCAUGGGGUUUGGGGGGUGUUUGGCAAAUUCUGGCUGUGGGGUUUUUGUUGUGGCUUUAAGCACUCCAUUUCAGCAUGUGCACGCAGUAAGAUGUGAGCAAAGGAAACAAAAAGGCACAGAAUGUGGAUGCCUCUGUCGGUCUGUACUCUGCAGUUAUUACUGGACUGCAUCAGACUCACAGCAUCAUGCUGCUGUCUUACCUGGAAGCCCUUUGAAAGCUUUCUGUUCUCUCAUGAUCAACAGUGUUUCUGUUUCUUUGGCCAGCAGGUUGCAUGUCUACCCAAAAGGAAGCCUGACAAAUAGGAAAAUACUACAAAGUGAAGAGAAAAAUCAUUUCACGAGAAAUGAGCUCUGCUUUCAUUGCUAA